AUUAACAAAAUGUAAUGAAAUAUUACUUUCAUUUUUUACAAACAGAAAGUGGUAAACUGUAAAAUAACAAAGAGAUUUAAAUUGAAAUUCAACUGAGCGGAAAUGAUAUCCAUUUAACCUGUUAUACGUUGAAAAUAUUAAAAAUUUUAAAAGUUCAGAUGUGUAUAUGUGUGUUAGAGUUGCGGCACGAAAGAAUAAUUUUAAAAGUUAGAAAAACAUUGUACGUUUCAAACAUGGCAGAAGUUCGAUAAUUUUCAAAUAAAAAUGCUAAAACCUUUAUUUAUUUUGGUCGAGCUAUUUCAAUUUUAAACGCAAAUAAUAUUAUUUACUAUUUUGAAUUCAAAUAAUAAUACCGAUGGUGUAAUUAAUUAUUCGUUAGAGAAAGAAUUUUAAACGAUGGAAUUAUCUGGAUAGUCACGUAUCACAGUACACUCCGUUAUCGAAUAUCGAUAAUGAAAAUUUAAAGGGCCUUCGACGCUUUCAUUUUCCUCUUCACAUCGCUUUGUGAUAAUCCGAGAUCGUUCGUGGAAGAAGAUUAUCGUUAACCCUCUAUAUCAUAGAUUCGUGUGUUACGAUAUAUGAAAAUUAAAAUUAAAAUCUGAACAAAUUUUUCAAGUAAUCAGAAGUAAUCAAGAACUUGAAUAAAUCAUUCAAAGAAAACAAGGCUGUGUAACGGAAAAAAUUCAUAGUGACAUCUUGUAUGAUUAAACUAAUAUUGUUAGUGACAUAUUAUUAUUAAAUUGUGAUGGAUACUAAUAAAUUUUCUUGCAUAACAUUUGAUAAUAAGGUAAAUUAAAUUUUAUUAAUAAAAUUUUGUGUGAUUUAAUUAUCUUAUUUCACAUAAAAUUCUAAAAGUGAAGUUCAUAACCUAUAACUCGUAAUUCGUGAAUUCACUAAUAUUAUUAAUUACUAAAUCAUUAUACAAGAGAGUUUUAAAACUUAAGUUUAAACUAUCAAAAUCGUAUUUUCGAAAUGGAUUUAAGUGCAUAAAUGAGUUUUUCAUUGAAAAUAAUUGUUUAUGUGUCUUAUUGUAUAUACCAAUAUUCCAUUCUCGAAGGUGGUUAGGUUAAUCUCUUAAACUCGUUCUACUUGAAACGUUGGUAUAUUUGUCCUGUGUUCCUGUGCAAGUUCUUAUUACUUCAAUCAUUUAUAUAUUCGUCCUCGUCACUUAACCUUAUGGAUAUAUUCAUGAUUCACCAGCAACAGAUUAUUUCCUCGUCCGUGAUCCAUACUGAUGUAUUGUACAUGUGGAAUAACGAAAUAUCAGCCCACUGGCAACACUACGAACGCAAAUAAUCGACAUUUGUAAUUCGAUUGAAAGUCACGAAGGCUGAAUAACGUCAGAAGAAUCUUCCAAUGCGAAUGAUUCACUCUUCCUUCGAUGAAUACGAAAUUCAUCGAAUUAUUGGAUAGAUGGAGAGAACCAGGCAAAGGAGUGUGAGAAUAGGUGAAAGAAAUGCAUUCGAGGCAUGUAAUCCGUUUAUAUUCCCUGUGAUUGACCGUUCUCCCAUCAGUCCCUGUUACACGAGAACGUUACUCUUCGUUGAAAUGUUUCCCGCCCAUUGCAACAGAAUGGAAUACGCAAAGUGGAAAUAAUACGAAAAUUUUUGUUCGUGAUUUCAAUUUGAUUUCAAUAAAUCUGAAAAUUUCAAUAAGAUAAGUUUUAUCCAAAAUAAUCCAAAUAAUUAAAAUUUUUUAACGAUUUAAUUUAUGUUAAUAAUAAUUUAUAACAAUUCAUUAUUCGUUUUCAGUGAUUUAUCAUAACAAUAAUUUUACGCCUUGGUUUAUCCUUUACAAAUGGCUACAUUUCUCAUUUUUACGAGCUUUUUGCUUUUUAAUUACAAUUCCGAGUUUCUACAAAGCCGAUAAACUUUAAAUGGAAGCACGCAUCGUACGGUGAAAAAAAGAAAAGAAAAGAAAGAAUGAAAAAAAAAAAAAA
Molecule: unclassified non-coding RNA, 1939 nt
Organism: Apis florea (little honeybee)
Lineage: Eukaryota; Metazoa; Arthropoda; Insecta; Hymenoptera; Apidae
Source: RefSeq, a predicted model, not a curated record